UACGAAGGGGGCUAGCGUUGCUCGGAUUGACUGGGCGUAAAGGGCGCGUAGGCGGUUCGUACAGUCAGACGUGAAAUUCCUGGGCUCAACCUGGGGGCUGCGUUUGAUACGUGCGGACUUGAGUGCGGAAGAGGGUCGUGGAAUUCCCAGUGUAGAGGUGAAAUUCGUAGAUAUCGGGAGGAACACCAGUGGCGAAGGCGGCGACCUGGGCCAAUAUUGACGCUGAGGUGCGAAAGCGUGGGGAGCAAACAGG
RNAcentral lists this ribosomal RNA (253 nucleotides) under uncultured bacterium. RNAcentral describes it as "partial 16S ribosomal RNA". It matches the Rfam family "Bacterial small subunit ribosomal RNA", at positions 524 to 776 of the family's 1533-position model. The record is from RNAcentral.